This 522-nucleotide ribosomal RNA is filed under the name uncultured Glomeromycotina. RNAcentral describes it as "SSU rRNA". It matches the Rfam family "Eukaryotic small subunit ribosomal RNA", at positions 569 to 1092 of the family's 1831-position model. Lineage: Eukaryota; Fungi; Glomeromycota. The record is from RNAcentral.
AGCAGCCGCGGUAAUUCCAGCUCCAAUAGCGUAUAUUAAAGUUGUUGCAGUUAAAAAGCUCGUAGUUGAAUUUCGGGGUUAGUAGGUUGGUCAUGCCUCUGGUAUGUACUGGUCUCACUGAUUCCUCCUUCCUGAUGAGCCGUAAUGCCAUUAAUUUGGUGUUGCGGGGAAUUUGGACUGUUACUUUGAAAAAAUUAGAGUGUUUAAAGCAAGCUAACGCUUGAAUACAUUAGCAUGGAAUAAUGAAAUAGGACGUUCGAUCCUAUUUUGUUGGUUUCUAGGAUUGACGUAAUGAUUAAUAGGGAUAGUUGGGGGCAUUAGUAUUCAAUUGUCAGAGGUGAAAUUCUUGGAUUUAUUGAAGACUAACUACUGCGAAAGCAUUUGCCAAGGAUGUUUUCAUUAAUCAAGAACGAAAGUUAGGGGAUCGAAGACGAUCAGAUACCGUCGUAGUCUUAACCAUAAACUAUGCCGACUGGGGAUCGAAUGAUGUUAAUUUUUUAAUGACUCAUUCGGCGCCUUACG